RNAcentral lists this long non-coding RNA (261 nucleotides) under Lathyrus oleraceus (garden pea). RNAcentral describes it as "Pisum sativum (pea) long non-coding RNA (PSAT_LNC036770)". The record is from RNAcentral. Lineage: Eukaryota; Viridiplantae; Streptophyta; Magnoliopsida; Fabales; Fabaceae.
AAUAAAGCAAUAAUUAAAAAAAUAUAAAAGAAAUAAUAAGAGGGAGGGGGCACACUAAUAAUACAAGAGGUAAAAGAAUUAAAAAAAGAAAAAAAAGAAAAAAGAAAAAGAAAUAAAUAAAUAAAGCAAUAAUAAGAAAAAUAAUAAAUAAAAAAAUAUACAAAAGACAAAAAUAGACUAAAAAUUGGGCUAGAAAAAUGCUCUAGGCUCAAAGGAGGGAGUCUCACAUGGGUGCACUGAGCAAUUAGGGACUGUGGGCGG